UACGAAGGGGGCUAGCGUUGCUCGGAAUUACUGGGCGUAAAGGGCGCGUAGGCGGAUGUUUAAGUCGGGGGUGAAAGCCCGGGGCUCAACCUCGGAACAGCCUUCGAUACUGGACAUCUUGAGUACGGGAGAGGUGAGUGGAACUCCGAGUGUAGAGGUGAAAUUCGUAGAUAUUCGGAAGAACACCAGUGGCGAAGGCGACUCACUGGCCCGUUACUGACGCUGAGGCGCGAAAGCGUGGGGAGCAAACAGG
This 253-nucleotide ribosomal RNA is filed under the name uncultured bacterium. Its description in RNAcentral is "partial 16S ribosomal RNA". It matches the Rfam family "Bacterial small subunit ribosomal RNA", at positions 524 to 776 of the family's 1533-position model. The record is from RNAcentral.